UGCACCGAGAAAAUAUUUGUUAUUGUUACAUGGGUAUCUAGUUGUAUGAACGUGCAGUAUCGCCAGUUUGUCUAUCUCUCGAGUCUAGACAUGCUUAAGCUAUGUAGUGCAUUCAGAGACUGCAUUUGCUAAUCCAAGUGAAAGCAGAAGUAGUGGCAUGAAAUUUUCAAUCGAUUCUCUAUCUUGUGAAAGACAAAAACGGCCUGUUCGCAAUCCUGCCUAUUUCGAUUUUUCUCCAAGCCGAAGAUUAGUAGGAUUUUUUCUUGAAAGCUUGGUAGAAAUUCAGAAGAAUAGAAAUACAAUGAGCAGUUAUACAAUUUAAGUGUCAGAAAUGGCAAGGUGAAUCGGUUU
This 351-nucleotide long non-coding RNA is filed under the name Oryza brachyantha (malo sina). RNAcentral's name for it is "long non-coding RNA (OBRA_LNC002453)". Lineage: Eukaryota; Viridiplantae; Streptophyta; Magnoliopsida; Poales; Poaceae. The record is from RNAcentral.